RNAcentral lists this long non-coding RNA (744 nucleotides) under Triticum aestivum (bread wheat). RNAcentral describes it as "long non-coding RNA (TAES_LNC019872)". Lineage: Eukaryota; Viridiplantae; Streptophyta; Magnoliopsida; Poales; Poaceae. The record is from RNAcentral.
UCAUCGACAACCAAAGAGAUUGACAGCCGGUUGUGCUAUGGACAAGUACACGAUUCGCAUCCUUGCACUAGCUCUACUGUCUCUACAUCUCGUAUGCUCUGCUACUGUUGCUCAAUGUAAGCACACCAAUCGGGUUCAAUUUUUUCACUCAUCGAAGUAUGUAUGUAGUACUAUAGCCAGUGAAGGUGGCCUUUUUUUUCUUUUUUUGUCGAAAUAAUCUGUUGCGCGUUUAUUUAUUCCGCUCUAAAAUAUAUAAUUGCAUAAUAAUUGUUCGUUUGUCAUUCCAUAGGUCGAACCAUGGCUGACACGGAUAGCGAGAAGAUCAAUUUACCAAACGGGCUAUGCCAUAAGUUACCUUCGUAUCGAUGCGUCAAAGAGUGCUUCUGUUGUUUGGUAGAUGAGUGGUGCUACUCCACAAUGGAUGAGUGCGCGAUAAAGUGUAAAUGAUCCUCUUCUUCAGAAGACAUACUGGUGCCGAUGACAUCCCCUCCUUUACCUGCUCCUUAAUUUCGCAGCCUAGUCAAAUUGGGUUACAUGCGUAUUUACAUGUCCCGAGAAACAAAUGAUGCCUGAUAUAUAUUUGAUUUGCAAUAAGAUCUAGUAAUACUCUAGCAAUUGUCGCUGAGUAUUUGGUUUGGCAAAAGAAUGAAAUUCCAAUAGAAUCUCUUUGUAAUUUGACAAGAAAAGUGCCAAAAGUAUGAAUUUGUACCAAGUGUAGUUUGCCCCACUAACAAUAGUGUUUAG